Molecule: ribosomal RNA, 443 nt
Filed under: uncultured bacterium
Lineage: Bacteria
Description: partial 16S ribosomal RNA
Rfam family: Bacterial small subunit ribosomal RNA
Source: RNAcentral
CCUACGGGAGGCAGCAGUGGGGAAUAUUGGACAAUGGGGGGAACCCUGAUCCAGCGACGCCGCGUGAGUGAAGAAGUAUUUCGGUAUGUAAAGCUCUAUCAGCAGGGAAGAAAGAAAUGACGGUACCUGACUAAGAAGCCCCGGCUAACUACGUGCCAGCAGCCGCGGUAAUACGUAGGGGGCAAGCGUUAUCCGGCUUUACUGGGUGUAAAGGGAGCGUAGACGGCGAUGCAAGUCUGAAGUGAAAGGCGGGGGCGCAACCCCCGGACUGCUUUGGAAACUGUAUGGCUGGAGUGCAGGAGAGGUAAGUGGAAUUCCUAGUGUAGCGGUGAAAUGCGUAGAUAUUAGGAGGAACACCAGUGGCGAAGGCGGCUUACUGGACUGUAACUGACGUUGAGGCUCGAAAGCGUGGGGAGCAAACAGGAUUAGAUACCCCAGUAGUC